RNAcentral lists this long non-coding RNA (1352 nucleotides) under Apteryx owenii (little spotted kiwi). Its description in RNAcentral is "lncRNA (ENSAOWG00000009524.1)". Lineage: Eukaryota; Metazoa; Chordata; Aves; Apterygiformes; Apterygidae. The record is from RNAcentral.
AUUCCCCAUCUGAAGACUGAGACAUUGAACUGUGAUCUUUAUCUUUUUUUUUUUUUUUUAAAGCUCCUGUACACCUGACCAAAAGCAGUGUGCAGUAUUUUCUGUAACUAAAACUAAAUCCAGUUCAAUGGUUUGCCUCUGAAAAAAUUAGUAUGACCUUUCUCUUGCUAACAUACCCAGGACCAAAAAUUGUCUUCUAAUCACACCUGCCAGGGCAUAAAUCUUGUAUUUUGCACAGCUUGCCAUGGGCUGAGUGAAGACUGAGUUUGAAUUGAAAAAAAGCCUUAGUUUCGUGCAUAUCCUAUUUCUAGGUGACAUUUCCUAAGCAUCCUGUACACAUGAGCUGUCUGAACACAUCUUCUGGAGCAGAUGAUGUGGGCAGCCACCCAGUAGGAUGUUCUCAGUGAACCUUUGGGGCCACCCACUGUCCCCUACCAGCCCAAAAUACUCCAUGCAAUAAGUCAGCAACCAGAUGGCUGUGACUCCAGAUUCCAUGACUCCUUCUGUCCCAUCUAUUUAUUGUCUUGGUUAUUGUGUGUGUAGACAGGUAGGCAGGGACAUGGGGAGGGUCUCUUUAGGGCUGCUGUCUACUUUGGACCAGGAUCAACAAGAAGUGCCCAGUGCCUGAUCUGCAGUAAUUGUCAUGGUGACAACACCCUCUUUGUCACUUCUUUACAACAAAGCUGUAAAUUUGUAUGAGCCCUGGGUGGUUGGAGUUGCCGCAGGGAUACCAACCUUACUGGUCUUCAUCCUUGUAGUCAUCUUGGUACUGGUCUGUGUUCACCAGGGGACAAACUGCAGCUGGAAGCAGAAGAGCCAAAGUCCCAAUGUGCAAGAACAACAUGAAUAUGAAUCAUCCCCUCCCAGACCUUCAGAAGACUUUUAUAUAACCAUGAUGAAGGGGACAACAAAUAUCUAUGUAAAUGAAGAUCAAGAAAAAUAUCUCAAAACAGACAUCCAAACACAAGCGAAACUCACAAGGAUGAAUAAGCCCAGAGGAGAACCACCUGUAGUGGAAUCCUUUUAUGAAAAUCGUCUACCUUAUAACUGAAAGAAAAGCACCAAGGAGUGGCCGGGAACAAAAACAGCAGGCAGAAAUAUUUCCUUGGUCACCAAGGGUCACAUGGCUGCAUUUUAUGGAGAAGAGAGUUUUCUUUUUGUGCAUACAUGUGUUUCUACAAAAGACAGGACAAAGAGACAUUGGAUGAAGAAGGAACCUGUUUGAACUGAUGCCUUUGAGAUACAAAAGCAAAAUGAGACUCCCCAGGAGUACCGAAACUCAAAGAGAUGGUUUUGCUGUCCUAGUAAAUUUAGGUUAAUUCAAUCUAAUAAAGAACAGGUAAAUCUUUGCA